GCAUAUCAAUAAGCGGAGGAAAAAGAAACUAACAAGGAUUCCCCUUAGUAACUGCGAAGUGAAGCGGGAAAAGCUCAAAUUUAAAAUCUGGCAGUCUUUGAUUGUCCGAGUUGUAAUCUAGAGAAGCAUUAUCCGCGCUGGACCGUGUACAAGUCUCCUGGAAUGGAGCGUCAUAGAGGGUGAGAAUCCCGUCUUUGACACGGACUGCCAGGGCUUUGUGAUGUGCUCUCAAAGAGUCGAGUUGUUUGGGAAUGCAGCUCAAAAUGGGUGGUAAAUUCCAUCUAAAGCUAAAUAUUGGCGAGAGACCGAUAGCGAACAAGUACCGUGAGGGAAAGAUGAAAAGAACUUUGGAAAGAGAGUUAAACAGUACGUGAAAUUGCUGAAAGGGAAACGCUUGAAGUCAGUCGCGUUGUCCGGGAAUCAACCUUGCUUUUGCUGGGCGUACUUCCUGGUUAACGGGUCAGCAUCAAUUUUGACCGUUGGAUAAAGUUGUUGGGAAUGUGGCUUCUUCGGAAGUGUUAUAGCCCAGUUUCGCAUACAACGGUUGGGAUUGAGGAACUCAGCACGCCGAAAGGCCGGGUUUUUAACCACGUUCGUGCUUAGGAUGCUGGCAUAAUGGCUUUAAUCGACCCGUCUUGAAACACGGACCAAGGAGUCUAACAUGCCUGCGAGUGUUUGGGUGGAAAACCCGAGCGCGUAAUGAAAGUGAAAGUUGAGAUCCCUGUCGUGGGGAGCAUCGACGCCCGGACUUGAACUUCUGUGACGGAUCCGCGGUAGAGCAUGUAUGUUGGGACCCGAAAGAUGGUGAACUAUGCCUGAAUAGGGUGAAGCCAGAGGAAACUCUGGUGGAGGCUCGUAGCGAUUCUGACGUGCAAAUCGAUCGUCAAAUUUGGGUAUAGGGGGCGAAAGACUAAUCGAACCAUCUAGUAGCUGGUUCCUGCCGA
Molecule: ribosomal RNA, 944 nt
Filed under: Panaeolus acuminatus
Lineage: Eukaryota; Fungi; Basidiomycota; Agaricomycetes; Agaricales
Description: LSU rRNA
Rfam family: Eukaryotic large subunit ribosomal RNA
Source: RNAcentral